RNAcentral lists this ribosomal RNA (468 nucleotides) under uncultured bacterium. Its description in RNAcentral is "partial 16S ribosomal RNA". It matches the Rfam family "Bacterial small subunit ribosomal RNA", at positions 28 to 507 of the family's 1533-position model. The record is from RNAcentral.
GACGAACGCUGGCGGCGUGCUUAACACAUGCAAGUCGAACGGAAAGGCCCUGCUUUUGUGGGGUGCUCGAGUGGCGAACGGGUGAGUAACACGUGAGUAACCUGCCCUUGACUUUGGGAUAACUUCAGGAAACUGGGGCUAAUACCGGAUAGGAGCUCCUGCUGCAUGGUGGUGGUUGGAAAGUGUCGGCGGUUGGGGAUGGACUCGCGGCUUAUCAGCUUGUUUGUGGGGUAGUGGCUUACCAAGGCUUUGAGGGGUAGCCUGCCUGAGAGGGUGACCGGCCACCUUGGGACUGAGAUACGGACCAGACUCGUACGGGAGGCAGCAGUGGGGAGUAUUGCACAAUGGGGGGAAGUCUGAUGCAGCAACGCCGCGUGCGGGAUGACGGGCUUCGGGUUGUAAACAGAUUUCGCCUGUGACGAAGCGUGAGUGACGGUAAUGAGUAAAGAAGCACCGGCUAACUACGUG